RNAcentral lists this non-coding RNA (23 nucleotides) under Arabidopsis thaliana (thale cress). Lineage: Eukaryota; Viridiplantae; Streptophyta; Magnoliopsida; Brassicales; Brassicaceae. The record is from RNAcentral.
AGCAAAGACUAAGUUUGGGGAGU